Molecule: ribosomal RNA, 253 nt
Filed under: uncultured bacterium
Lineage: Bacteria
Description: partial 16S ribosomal RNA
Rfam family: Bacterial small subunit ribosomal RNA
Source: RNAcentral
UACGUAGGGGGCUAGCGUUGUCCGGAAUCAUUGGGCGUAAAGCGCGUGUAGGCGGCCAGGUAAGUCCGUUCUGAAAGCCCGGGGCUCAACCCCGGGAGGCGGAUGGAUACUGCUUGGCUCGAGUCCGGAAGAGGCGAGUGGAAUUCCCGGUGUAGCGGUGAAAUGCGCAGAUAUCGGGAGGAACACCGGUGGCGAAGGCGGCGACCUGGGUAGAUACUGACGCUGAGGCGCGAAAGCGUGGGGAGCAAACAGG